Long non-coding RNA from Cervus elaphus (red deer), 1100 nucleotides. RefSeq lists it as uncharacterized. The transcript has 4 exons. NCBI's taxonomy places the organism in Eukaryota, Metazoa, Chordata, Mammalia, Artiodactyla, Cervidae. The record is from RefSeq and is a predicted model, not a curated record.
GACAGGUUGAGAUCCCUUAGCAGGGAGUUGUUGAUUCUGAGGUGCAAGACAGUGCCUCAGCCGGUUCAUGAAGCUCUUCAAAGCAGGAGGUGUCCUUGCAGAGAAAGAGCUGGAAAAUACUGGAGGAGGGAACAGCAGCCACGAAAGCCACCACUCAAGAGCACAUGGAGCCCUUUCAGUGGCCCCAUAGGACUCCUUGGGCUUACACAUCUGGCGUGCUCUCUAUCCACUUCCUCUACCCCAUGCCUUCUCCACACUGACUCUCAGGAAGACAUCGGUGACCAAAGAGGGGCAUGACUGCAGCCUCCAGUCUGUUUCCUUGGAUAAAGCAUUCCCCAGUUUUCUCAUGGGCCGCUAAGUGGGCAUCAGAUGAACACCGUGACUUCGUUUUCCAGGUGGGAGAGUUGACUGUAUCGGGUUCUCCAUCAUUUGCAAGCUGCAUCAGGCUGCCAGGAGUUGUCUUGAUAUUGAGGCAAGAAGGGUCUGGUGCUGCGAUCUGUACCUCCCUCCAUCCUUCCCACACAGGAUCGCUCCCAUCAUUGUCCUAACUGUGGGGUCCCAGGGGGUGUUGGGGCAGGGAUGGCAAACAUUUGAAACAUACAUAUCAUCGUGCUUUAAUCUGGCGUCUGUGGCAGACACCCAUAAUGUGUCGUGCAGUAUUUCUCAACACGGUACUCCAGGCAGCAGCACAAAACAAGUGCAAUGGGAACUCCAGGAACUCCACCCAAGGCCUGGUACUGAGGAAACCAUGACGGCUCCUCAUUUAGAAGGAAUGCUGACCUUCUCUCCCACUGAGGGCCACAGGCUUCGUGGCCAGGGCUUUGAGAAUGUUACAGGAAAAUGCAGCCCAGUGCCUAUUUCAUACAAGCAAUUCUCCUCUCCAUCCUCAUCUUUCCCAGCAGGAAUCAUUUUGCCAGUGUCAGGUUUUGUCUGUCUAGUUAAGAAGGCAGGCUCUGGGGAUUUCCCCUGUGGUCCAGCAGCAAAGACUCCAAGCUCCCAGUGCAGGGGAGUCCGAGUUCAACCCCUGGUCAAGGAACUAGAUGCCGCAAGCCACAACUAAGAGUUCAAGUGUGUGCUCAGUCCUACUCUUUGCAACCCCC